GCCUCCAUGGUGUAGUCCGGCCAAUCAUCCUGCCUUUUCGAGGCAGGGACGUGGGUUCAAAUCCCGCUGGAGGCA
Molecule: transfer RNA, 75 nt
Filed under: Nanobdellota archaeon
Lineage: Archaea; Nanobdellati; Nanobdellota
Description: tRNA-Glu
Rfam family: tRNA
About the family: Transfer RNA (tRNA) molecules are approximately 80 nucleotides in length. Their secondary structure includes four short double-helical elements and three loops (D, anti-codon, and T loops).
Source: RNAcentral